AUUGAACGCUGGCGGCAGGCCUAACACAUGCAAGUCGAACGCGUGGCGGACGGGUGAGUAAUGUCUGGGAAACUGCCUUAUGGCUGGGGAUAACUCCUGGAAACGGUAGCUAAUACCGCAUACCAUCAGAUGUGCCCAGAUGGGAUUAGCUUGUUGGUGGGGUAACGGCUCACCAAGGCGACGAUCCCUAGCUGGUCUGAGAGGAUGACCAGCCACACUGGAACUGAGACACGGUCCAGACUCCUACGGGAGGCAGCAGUGGGGAAUAUUGCACAAUGGGCGCAAGCCUGAUGCAGCCAUGCCGCGUGUAUGAAGAAGGCCUUCGGGUUGUAAAGUACUUUCAGCGGGGAGGCGUUACCCGCAGAAAAAGCAACGGCUAACUCCGUGCCAGCAGCCGCGGUAAUUC
RNAcentral lists this ribosomal RNA (406 nucleotides) under uncultured bacterium. Its description in RNAcentral is "partial 16S ribosomal RNA". It matches the Rfam family "Bacterial small subunit ribosomal RNA", at positions 30 to 526 of the family's 1533-position model. The record is from RNAcentral.